AGAGUUUGAUCCUGGCUCAGGGUGAACGCUGGCGGCGUGGAUAAGGCAUGCAAGUCGAACGCUCCGCAAGGAGAGUGGCAGACGAGGUAGUAAUACAUAGGUACGCACCUUUCAGUCGGGCACAGCUCGUCGAAAGACGGGGUAAUUCCCGAUGAUCCCUUCGGGGUAAAGGAGCAAUUCGCUGAGAGAGCGGCCUGUGGGAUAUCAGCUAGUUGGUAGGGUAAUGGCCUACCAAGGCUAUGACGUCUAGGGGAGCUGAGAGGCUGACCCCCACCGAUGGAACUGAGAACGGUCCAUACAUCUACGGAUGGCUGCAGCCGAGAAUAUUCCGCAAUGGGCGAAAGCCUGACGGAGCGACGCCGCGUGCUGGAUGAAGUCCUUCGGGACGUAAACAGCUUUUAUGCGUGAGAAAAUUAUUGAUGUUAGCGCAUGAAUAAGAGGCUCCUAACUCUGUGCCAGCAGGAGCGGUAAGACAGAGGCCUCAAGCGUUACCCGGAAUCACUGGGCGUAAAGGGUGUGUAGGCGGUUGUGUUAGUCUUUUGUGAAAGCCCGUGGGCUCAACCCAUGGAACGCAGGGGAAACGGCACGACUAUAGAGGAUGUGAGAGGUGCACGGAACUCAUGGUGUAGGGGUGAAAUCCGUUGAUAUCAUGGGGAACACCAAAUGCGAAGGCAGUGCACUGGCGCAUUCCUGACGCUGAAACACGAAAGCGUGGGGAUCGAACGGGAUUAGAUACCCCGGUAGUCCACGCCCUAAACGAUCCUAACUGGCUUUACGGAGUAUCGACCCUCUGUGAGGCGAAGCAAACGCGUUAAGUUAGGCGCCUGGGUAGUACGAUCGCAAGAUUAAAACUCAAAGGAAUAGACGGGGACUUGCACAAGCGGUGGAUCAUGCGGCUCAAUUCGAUGACAAACGAAGAACCUCACCAGGGUUUGAAACCCAGACGAAAUCCUUAGGAAACUUUGGACCCCGCAAGGCGGCUGGGCAGGUGAUGCAUGGUCGUCGUCAGUUCGUGGCUUGAGUUGUUCCCUUCAGUGGGGUAACGAACGCAACCCUCGUUGCCUGUUUUCUAUGUCAGGCGAGACUGCCCCCUCACGGGGGAGGAAGGUGAGGAUGACGCCAGAUCAGCAUGUCCCUCUGAUAUCCUGGGCUGCACGCAUGAUACAAUGCACUCGACAACGGGUCGCGACGGAGUAAUCCUGAGCUAAUCCUAUAAACGAGUGCCCAGUUCGGAUUGAGGUCUGCAACUCGACCUCAUGAAGCCGGAAUCGCUAGUAAUCGCGGGUCAGCUAUACCGCGGUGAAUACGUUCUCAAGUCUUGUACUCACCGCC
This 1332-nucleotide ribosomal RNA is filed under the name uncultured bacterium. Its description in RNAcentral is "bacterial SSU rRNA". It matches the Rfam family "Bacterial small subunit ribosomal RNA". The record is from RNAcentral.